GAUGAACGCUAGCUACAGGCUUAACACAUGCAAGUCGAGGGACCGGCGCACGGGCGAGUAACCCGUAUCCAACCUGCCCUUUACUCGGGGAUAGCCUUUCGAAAGAAAGACUAAUACCCGAUAUAAAGGAUGGGGAUGCGUUCCAUUAGGUUGUUGGUGAGGUAACGGCUCACCAAGCCUUCGACGGAUAGGGGUUCUGAGAGGAAGUUCGCCCACAUUGGAACUGAGACACGGACCAAACUCCUACGGGAGGCAGCAGAGAGGAAUAUUGGGCAAGGGGGGCUAGCCUGAACCAGCCAAGUAGCGGGAAGGAUAAAGGCUUAUGGGUCGUGAACUUCUUUUAUAGAAGAAUAGGUAUUAUAUGAAUAAGGAUCGGCUAACGCCGUGCCAGCAGCCGCGGUAAUUC
This 406-nucleotide ribosomal RNA is filed under the name uncultured bacterium. RNAcentral describes it as "partial 16S ribosomal RNA". It matches the Rfam family "Bacterial small subunit ribosomal RNA", at positions 28 to 526 of the family's 1533-position model. The record is from RNAcentral.